This 368-nucleotide ribosomal RNA is filed under the name Calothrix sp. 04395-00002. Its description in RNAcentral is "bacterial LSU rRNA". It matches the Rfam family "Bacterial large subunit ribosomal RNA", at positions 2098 to 2465 of the family's 2925-position model. The record is from RNAcentral. Lineage: Bacteria; Bacillati; Cyanobacteriota; Cyanophyceae; Nostocales; Calotrichaceae.
GCUUUACUGUAGCCUGGAAUUGUGUUCGGGCUUGGCUUGCGCAGGAUAGGUGGGAAGCGUAGAGAUAGUGCUUGUGGGUGCUAUGGAGCUAACGGUGAGAUACCACUCUGGCGAAGCUAGAAUUCUAACUGGUUCCGUAAUCCGGAAUYAGAACAUUUUCAGGUGGGCAGUUUGACUGGGGCGGUCGCCUCCCAAAAGGUAACGGAGGCGCGCAAUGGUUCUCUCAGCACGGUUGGAAAUCGUGCGUCGAGUGUAAAGGCAAUAAGAGAGCUUGACUGUGACACAAACAAGUGGAACAGGUACGAAAGUAGGCCUUAGUGAUCCGACGGCGCAGAGUGGAAUGGCCGUCGCUCAACGGAUAAAAGUUA